AACGAACGCUGGCGGCAUGCCUAACACAUGCAGGUCGAACGAGACCUUCGGGUCUAGUGGCGCACGGGUGCGUAACGCGUGGGAACCUGCCCUUAGGUUCGGAAUAACUCCCCGAAAGGGGUGCUAAUACCGGAUAAUGUCUUCGGACCAAAGAUUUAUCGCCUUUGGAUGGGCCCGCGUUGGAUUAGCUAGUUGGUAGGGUAAAAGCCUACCAAGGCGACGAUCCAUAGCUGGUCUGGGAGGAUGAUCAGCCACACUGGGACUGAGACACGGCCCAGACUCCUACGGGAGGCAGCAGUGGGGAAUAUUGGACAAUGGGCGAAAGCCUGAUCCAGCAAUGCCGCGUGAGUGAUGAAGGCCUUAGGGUUGUAAAGCUCUUUUACCCGGGAUGAUAAUGACAGUACCGGGAGAAUAAGCUCCGGCUAACUCCGUG
RNAcentral lists this ribosomal RNA (433 nucleotides) under uncultured bacterium. Its description in RNAcentral is "partial 16S ribosomal RNA". It matches the Rfam family "Bacterial small subunit ribosomal RNA", at positions 29 to 507 of the family's 1533-position model. The record is from RNAcentral.